Molecule: ribosomal RNA, 426 nt
Filed under: uncultured bacterium
Lineage: Bacteria
Description: partial 16S ribosomal RNA
Rfam family: Bacterial small subunit ribosomal RNA
Source: RNAcentral
GUGAGGAAUUUUCCGCAAUGGGCGAAAGCCUGACGGAGCAAUGCCGCGUGAAGGAUGAAGGCCUAUGGGUUGUAAACUUCUUUUCUUAGAGAAGAAUAUUGACGGUAUCUGAGGAAUAAGCAUCAGCUAACUCUGUGCCAGCAGCCGCGGUAAGACAGAGGAUGCAAGCGUUAUCCGGAAUGAUUGGGCGUAAAGCGUCUGUAGGUGGCUUCAAAAGUCUCCUGUCAAAGAUCAGGGCUUAACCCUGGGCCGGCAGGAGAAACUCUGAGGCUAGAGUUUGGUAGGGGCAGAGGGAAUUCCCGGUGGAGCGGUGAAAUGCGUAGAGAUCGGGAGGAACACCAAAGGCGAAAGCACUCUGCUGGGCCACAACUGACACUGAGAGACGAAAGCGAGGGGAGCAAAAGGGAUUAGAUACCCCGGUAGUCC